Molecule: ribosomal RNA, 253 nt
Filed under: uncultured bacterium
Lineage: Bacteria
Description: partial 16S ribosomal RNA
Rfam family: Bacterial small subunit ribosomal RNA
Source: RNAcentral
UACGUAGGGUGCAAGCGUUGUCCGGAAUUAUUGGGCGUAAAGAGCUCGUAGGCGGUUUGUCGCGUCUGCUGUGAAAACUCGGGGCUUAACCCCGGGCCUGCAGUGGGUACGGGCAGACUAGAGUGCGGUAGGGGAGACUGGAAUUCCUGGUGUAGCGGUGAAAUGCGCAGAUAUCAGGAGGAACACCGGUGGCGAAGGCGGGUCUCUGGGCCAUAACUGACGCUGAGGAGCGAAAGCGUGGGGAGCGAACAGG